CCUACGGUGGGCUGCAGUGAGGAAUCUUGGUCAAUGGGCGCGAGCCUGAACCAGCCAAGUCGCGUGAGGGAAGACGGUCCUAUGGAUUGUAAACCUCUUUUGUCGGGGAGCAAAAGACGCCACGCGUGGCGUUCCGAGAGUACCCGAAGAAAAAGCAUCGGCUAACUCCGUGCCAGCAGCCGCGGGAAUACGGAGGAUGCGAGCGUUAUCCGGAUUUAUUUGGUUUAAAGGGUGCGCAGGAGGAAGAUCAAGUCAGCGGUAAAAUUGCGAGGUUCAACCUCUUCGAGCCGUUGAAACUGUUUUUGUUGAGUGAGUGAGAAGUAUGCUGAAUGCGUGGUGUAGCGGUGAGAUGCAUAGAUAUCACGCAGAACUCCGAUUGCGAAGGCAGCAUACCGGCGCUCAACUGACGCUCAUGCACGAAAGUGUGGGUAUCGAACAGGAUUAGAUACCCGUGUAGUC
RNAcentral lists this ribosomal RNA (459 nucleotides) under uncultured bacterium. Its description in RNAcentral is "partial 16S ribosomal RNA". It matches the Rfam family "Bacterial small subunit ribosomal RNA", at positions 338 to 795 of the family's 1533-position model. The record is from RNAcentral.